UGCCAUGUCGUGGGGGAUAACGUAGCGAAAGCUACGCUAAUACCGCAUACGCCCUGAGGGGGAAAGCGGGGGAUUCUUCGGAACCUCGCGCGAUUGGAGCGGCCGAUGUCGGAUUAGCUAGUAGGUGAGGUAAAGGCUCACCUAGGCGACGAUCCGUAGCGGGUCUGAGAGGAUGAUCCGCCACACUGGGACUGAGACACGGCCCAUACUCCUACGGGAGGCAGCAGUGGGGAAUUUUGGACAAUGGGCGCAAGCCUGAUCCAGCCAUGCCGCGUGAGUGAAGAAGGCCUUCGGGUUGUAAAGCUCUUUCGGCCGGGAAGAAAUCGUGGUCUCUAACAUAGGCCAUGGAUGACGGUACCGGACUAAGAAGCACCGGCUAACUACGUGCCAGCAGCCGCGGUAAUACGUAGGGUGCGAGCGUUAAUCGGAAUUACUGGGCGUAAAGCGUGCGCAGGCGGUUUUGUAAGACAGAUGUGAAAUCCCCGGGCUUAACCUGGGAACUGCGUUUGUGACUGCAAGGCUAGAGUACGGCAGAGGGGGGUGGAAUUCCUGGUGUAGCAGUGAAAUGCGUAGAGAUCAGGAGGAACACCGAUGGCGAAGGCAGCCCCCUGGGCCUGUACUGACGCUCAUGCACGAAAGCGUGGGGAGCAAACAGGAUUAGAUACCCUGGUAGUCCACGCCCUAAACGAUGUCGACUAGUCGUUCGGAGCAGCAAUGCACUGAGUGACGCAGCUAACGCGUGAAGUCGACCGCCUGGGGAGUACGGCCGCAAGGUUAAAACUCAAAGGAAUUGACGGGGACCCGCACAAGCGGUGGAUGAUGUGGAUAAUUCGAUGCAACGCGAAAAACCUUACCUACCCUUG
This 863-nucleotide ribosomal RNA is filed under the name uncultured Thauera sp. RNAcentral describes it as "bacterial SSU rRNA". It matches the Rfam family "Bacterial small subunit ribosomal RNA", at positions 127 to 983 of the family's 1533-position model. Lineage: Bacteria; Pseudomonadati; Pseudomonadota; Betaproteobacteria; Rhodocyclales; Zoogloeaceae. The record is from RNAcentral.